AUGCUUAACUGGGAGGGGAGGUACCAUGAUCAUGAAGGUGGUUUUCCCAGGGUGAGGCUUAUCCGUUGCACUCUGGAUGUGCUGAUCCCUGUGAUUUCCCCAAAUGUGGGAAACUCGGCUGCAUAACUUGUGGUAGUGGGGGACGGUGUUCGCGCUUUA
This is a small nuclear RNA of Cebus imitator (Panamanian white-faced capuchin), 159 nucleotides long. Its record names the gene U1. It matches the Rfam family "U1 spliceosomal RNA". From Rfam's summary of the family: U1 is a small nuclear RNA (snRNA) component of the spliceosome (involved in pre-mRNA splicing). Its 5' end forms complementary base pairs with the 5' splice junction, thus defining the 5' donor site of an intron. NCBI's taxonomy places the organism in Eukaryota, Metazoa, Chordata, Mammalia, Primates, Cebidae. The record is from Ensembl.